This 253-nucleotide ribosomal RNA is filed under the name uncultured bacterium. RNAcentral describes it as "partial 16S ribosomal RNA". It matches the Rfam family "Bacterial small subunit ribosomal RNA", at positions 524 to 776 of the family's 1533-position model. The record is from RNAcentral.
UACGUAGGGUGCGAGCGUUAAUCGGAAUUACUGGGCGUAAAGCGUGCGCAGGCGGUUUUGUAAGCCAGAUGUGAAAUCCCCGGGCUCAACCUGGGAACUGCCUUUGUGACUGCAAGGCUUGAGUGCGGCAGAGGGGGAUGGAAUUCCGCGUGUAGCAGUGAAAUGCGUAGAUAUGCGGAGGAACACCGAUGGCGAAGGCAAUCCCCUGGGCCUGCACUGACGCUCAUGCACGAAAGCGUGGGGAGCAAACAGG